Molecule: long non-coding RNA, 266 nt
Organism: Mauremys reevesii (Reeves's turtle)
Lineage: Eukaryota; Metazoa; Chordata; Testudines; Geoemydidae
Exons: 4
Source: RefSeq, a predicted model, not a curated record
CAGUGUCAGGAAUACAGUACAUAUUGGACUGGACUGCAGAGGGUGGAAGGAAUAAUUGAAGUUUAGCUCCAGCCUGGAACUGAAUCUAGAGGAACAUGUUUGGAGAUCCUGCUGUCCCACACGCCUUCAAAGAGGUUUGAAUUCAAGAACUUGGGCACUAUCCCCAUUUUACAGGUUCUACCCUACACAAGACACCACUUUUUUAGCAUGGCUGAAGAAUCUGUGUUUAACAGAGAUCCUGUCGCUGCCUAUGGAAAGUAAAGUUC